Long non-coding RNA from Quercus lobata, 270 nucleotides. RefSeq lists it as uncharacterized. The transcript has 3 exons. NCBI's taxonomy places the organism in Eukaryota, Viridiplantae, Streptophyta, Magnoliopsida, Fagales, Fagaceae. The record is from RefSeq and is a predicted model, not a curated record.
AACUGAGAGAGGUGGAGUUAUCAACUUGCUUUCAUUACACAACAUUCCUGAUAAUCUUAGCAAAAUUGGUGUGGAGUACGUUGAGGGAUUUAGCAUUUUGAUAUCUGGCUUAUUUGGUAAUACAACUACAAGACGAGGAAAGUCAAGCUUACAUCAGUGAAACUUGAUGUUCAAAGCAAUGUGCAACUCACACCAACAUCUGUACUCAAGGAAAACAAAAGGGCAUAUUCAGGGACUGCUACAAAGUAACAAAGGAAGAAGAUACAAAAA